Molecule: ribosomal RNA, 460 nt
Filed under: uncultured bacterium
Lineage: Bacteria
Description: partial 16S ribosomal RNA
Rfam family: Bacterial small subunit ribosomal RNA
Source: RNAcentral
CCUACGGGAGGCAGCAGUGAGGAAUAUUGGUCAAUGGACGAGAGUCUGAACCAGCCAAGUAGCGUGAAGGAUGACUGCCCUAUGGGUUGUCAACUUCUUUUAUAAAGGAAUAAAACGAGGCACGUGUGCCUUUUUGCAUGUACUUUAUGAAUAAGGAUCGGUUAACUCCGUGCCAGAAGACGCGGUAAUACGGAGGAUCCUAGCGUUAUCCGGGUUGAUGGGGUUUAAAGGGAAGGUAGAGGGGUUGUUAAGUCAGUUGGUAAAGUUAGCGGAUCAACCGUAAGAUUGUAAUUGAUACUGGCAGUCUUGAGUACAGUUGAGGUAGGCGGAAUUCGUGGGGUAGCGGUGAAAUGCUUAGAUAUCACGAAGAACCCCGAUUGCGAAGGCAGCUUACUAAACUGUGACUGACAUUGAUGCUCGAAAGUGUGGGUAUCAAACAGGAUUAGAUACCCGGGUAGUC